AUUGAACGCUGGCGGCAUGCCUUACACAUGCAAGUCGAACGGCAGCACGGACUUCGGUCUGGUGGCGAGUGGCGAACGGGUGAGUAAUAUAUCGGAACAUACCCUAGAGUGGGGGAUAACGUAGCGAAAGUUACGCUAAUACCGCAUACGAACUAAGGUUGAAAGUGGGGGAUCGCAAGACCUCAUGCUCAUGGAGUGGCCGAUAUCUGAUUAGCUAGUUGGUGAGGUAAAGGCUCACCAAGGCGACGAUCAGUAGCUGGUUUGAGAGAACGACCAGCCACACUGGAACUGAGACACGGUCCAGACUCCUACGGGAGGCAGCAGUGGGGAAUUUUGGACAAUGGGCGCAAGCCUGAUCCAGCAAUGCCGCGUGAGUGAAGAAGGCCUCGGUUGUAAGCUCUUUGUCAGGGAAGAAAAGGACGUGUGGCGUAAUAUCCACAGCUGCUGACGGUACCUGAAGAAUAAG
Molecule: ribosomal RNA, 466 nt
Filed under: uncultured bacterium
Lineage: Bacteria
Description: bacterial SSU rRNA
Rfam family: Bacterial small subunit ribosomal RNA
Source: RNAcentral